This 334-nucleotide ribosomal RNA is filed under the name uncultured bacterium. RNAcentral's name for it is "bacterial SSU rRNA". It matches the Rfam family "Bacterial small subunit ribosomal RNA", at positions 9 to 333 of the family's 1533-position model. The record is from RNAcentral.
GAGUUUGAUCGUGGCUCAGGAUGAACGCUAGCUACAGGCUUAACACAUGCAAGUCGCGGGGCAGCAUGUAUCUGGCUUGCCAGAUACGAUGGCGACCGGCGCACGGGUGAGUAACGCGUAUCCAACCUGCCCAUAACCACGGCACAGCCCGUCGAAAGGCGGAUUAAUGCCGUAUGAGGUUCCAGCGUAGCAUUAUGAUGGAACGAAAGGAUUGGCGGUUAUGGAUGGGGAUGCGUCCGAUUAGCUGGUUGGCGGGGUAACGCCCACCAAGGCGACGAUCGGUAGGGGUUCGUGAGAGGAAGGUCCCCCGACACUGGAACUGAGACACGGUCCA